GCCGCCGUCCGGGAAAUCGAAAGCCCAACGGCGCAUGCGAGCAUCGCCCUCCGA
RNAcentral lists this ribosomal RNA (54 nucleotides) under Oxera vanuatuensis. RNAcentral describes it as "partial 26S ribosomal RNA". Lineage: Eukaryota; Viridiplantae; Streptophyta; Magnoliopsida; Lamiales; Lamiaceae. The record is from RNAcentral.